CAGUCGCCGCGGUAAUACGGAGGAUCCAAGCGUUAUCCGGAAUCAUUGGGUUUAAAGGGUCCGUAGGCGGUCUUGUAAGUCAGUGGUGAAAGCCUAUCGCUCAACGGUGGAACGGCCAUUGAUACUGCAGGACUUGAAUUAUUGGGAAGUAACUAGAAUAUGUAGUGUAGCGGUGAAAUGCUUAGAGAUUACAUGGAAUACCAAUUGCGAAGGCAGGUUACUACCAAUUGAUUGACGCUGAUGGACGAAAGCGUGGGUAGCGAACAGGAUUAGAUACCCGCGUAGUCCCUGUCUCUUAUAC
RNAcentral lists this ribosomal RNA (301 nucleotides) under uncultured bacterium. RNAcentral describes it as "partial 16S ribosomal RNA". It matches the Rfam family "Bacterial small subunit ribosomal RNA", at positions 509 to 807 of the family's 1533-position model. The record is from RNAcentral.